This 425-nucleotide ribosomal RNA is filed under the name uncultured bacterium. Its description in RNAcentral is "partial 16S ribosomal RNA". It matches the Rfam family "Bacterial small subunit ribosomal RNA", at positions 354 to 796 of the family's 1533-position model. The record is from RNAcentral.
GUGGGGAAUAUUGGACAAUGGGCGCAAGCCUGAUCCAGCAAUGCCGCGUGAGUGAUGAAGGCCUUAGGGUUGUAAAGCUCUUUCACCGGGGAAGAUAAUGACGGUACCCGGAGAAGAAGCCCCGGCUAACUCCGUGCCAGCAGCCGCGGUACUACGGAGGGGGCUAGCGUUGUUCGGAAUUACUGGGCGUAAAGCGCGCGUAGGCGGCUUGACAAGUUGGAGGUGAAAGCCCGGAGCUCAACUUCGGAAUUGCCUUCAAGACUGUCUCGCUCGAGGCAGGGAGAGGAGAGCGGAAUACCCAGUGUAGAGGUGAAAUUCGUAGAUAUUGGGUGGAACACCGGUGGCGAAGGAGGCUCUCUGGCCCUGAUCUGACGCUAAGGCGCGAAAGCGUGGGGAGCAAACAGGAUUAGAAACCCCAGUAGUCC